GCGGCGUCAAAGGUGAAGCAGGACAUGCCUCCGCCGGGGGGCUAUGGGCCCAUCGACUACAAACGGAACUUGCCGCGUCGAGGACUGUCGGGCUACAGCAUGCUGGCCAUAGGGAUUGGAACCCUGAUCUACGGGCACUGGAGCAUAAUGAAGUGGAACCGUGAGCGCAGGCGCCUACAAAUCGAGGACUUCGAGGCUCGCAUCGCGCUGUUGCCACUGUUACAGGCAGAAACCGACCGGAGGUAGCACCGCAGGGGCCAAGGUUGGGAGGUCACUGGCCGGAAGGCCCCAGGCUGCAGGGCCUGACCUGCAUCCCCGAAGGUGGCCAGAAUGCACGUGGGGGCCAUCGCCCUGUGCCGUCAGCUGCAUCCUCAGGCGUGGAGACUUAGUGGAGACCCAAGGGGGCGAACCGGAAGGCUUCCUGGAGGAGGAGGCAGCACUGGGGUUGGGGCAAGAGAAAAGCUAGGAGUUGGCUGGGGGAAAAGGAGACAGGGUCGGAGGGAGGCUUGAAGGGGUGCUACUAGGGGCCCUAGGCAGGGGCCCCUCAGGGCACUGAGGCCCCACCCCCACCAUCGGCCCCAUCCCCACAGGACCUUGCAGAUGCUUCGGGAGAACCUGGAGGAGGAGGCCAUCAUCAUGAAGGACGUGCCCGACUGGAAGGUGGGGGAGUCUGUGUUCCACACAACCCGCUGGGUGCCCCCCUUGAUCGGGGAGCUGUACGGGCUGCGCACCACAGAGGAGGCUCUCCAUGCCAGCCACGGCUUCAUGUGGUACACGUAGGCCCUGUGCCCUCCGGCCACCUGGAUCCCUGCCCCUCCCCACUGGGACGGAAUAAAUGCUCUGCAGACC
RNAcentral lists this long non-coding RNA (849 nucleotides) under Homo sapiens (human). RNAcentral describes it as "long non-coding RNA NONHSAT179541.1". Lineage: Eukaryota; Metazoa; Chordata; Mammalia; Primates; Hominidae. The record is from RNAcentral.